Molecule: ribosomal RNA, 460 nt
Filed under: uncultured bacterium
Lineage: Bacteria
Description: partial 16S ribosomal RNA
Rfam family: Bacterial small subunit ribosomal RNA
Source: RNAcentral
GACGAACGCUGGCGGCGUGCUUAACACAUGCAAGUCGAGCGGUAAGGCCUCUUCGGGGGUACACGAGCGGCGAACGGGUGAGUAACACGUGGGUGACCUGCCCUCAGCUCUGGGAUAAGCCUGGGAAACUGGGUCUAAUACCGGAUAUGACCUUUCCUCGCAUGGGGUCUGGUGGAAAGUUUUUUCGGCUGGGGAUGGGCCCGCGGCCUAUCAGCUUGUUGGUGGGGUGAUGGCCUACCAAGGCGACGACGGGUAGCCGGCCUGAGAGGGCGACCGGCCACACUGGGACUGAGACACGGCCCGGACUCCUACGGGAGGCAGCAGUGGGGAAUAGUGCGCAAUGGGCGGAAGCCUGACGCAGCGACGCCGCGUGGGGGAUGACGGCCUUCGGGUUGUAAACCUCUUUCGACCCCGACGAAUUUGGACGGUAGGGGUAGAAGAAGCACCGGCCAACUACGUG